This 469-nucleotide ribosomal RNA is filed under the name uncultured Bacillus sp. RNAcentral describes it as "bacterial SSU rRNA". It matches the Rfam family "Bacterial small subunit ribosomal RNA", at positions 916 to 1382 of the family's 1533-position model. Lineage: Bacteria; Bacillati; Bacillota; Bacilli; Caryophanales; Bacillaceae. The record is from RNAcentral.
GGGGCCCGCACAAGCGGUGGAGCAUGUGGUUUAAUUUCGACGCAACGCGAAGAACCUUACCAGGGCUUGACAUCCCCUGACCGCGUAUGAAAGUACGUUUUCACCUCGGGUGACAGGGAGACAGGUGGUGCAUGGUUGUCGUCAGCUCGUGUCGUGAGAUGUUGGGUUAAGUCCCGCAACGAGCGCAACCCCUACGUUUAGUUGCUAACGCGUGAAGGCGAGCACUCUAGACGAACUGCCGUUGACAAAACGGAGGAAGGUGGGGAUGACGUCAAAUCAUCAUGCCCCUUAUGUUCUGGGCUACACACGUGCUACAAUGGCCGGUACAGACGGACGCAAAGCCGCGAGGUGGAGCAAAUCCUAAAAAGCCGGUCUCAGUUCGGAUUGCAGGCUGCAAUUCGCCUGCAUGAAGUCGGAAUCGCUAGUAAUCGCAGGUCAGCAUACUGCGGUGAAUACGUUCCCGGGCCUU